Phyllostomus discolor (pale spear-nosed bat) is the source of this 1535-nucleotide long non-coding RNA. RefSeq lists it as uncharacterized. The transcript is spliced from 2 exons. The record is from RefSeq and is a predicted model, not a curated record. Lineage: Eukaryota; Metazoa; Chordata; Mammalia; Chiroptera; Phyllostomidae.
AUUCUUAAUACAAUCUUCAAAAGCACCUUCUCCCAAAUAUGGUAACAUUUGCAGGCUCCCCGUACUAGGACCCACCCCAAAGGGACGAUGCAUUCGCCGCCAAUGUUGCCUUUGUUUAAUCACGUGUCACAUGACCUCCCAUCCCUGGAAGGAGAAAGGUAAAGGUUAAGUUGGCCAACCAACAAAGUGGUAUCUGAUGAAUUUUCCUACAGAAAAGAUGUGGGGAGAGAAAAACUGAAGGAUAAAAGGAAGGCAUCCUAGAAAGAGGGGAACUGGAUGAACAAUGGCAGAGUGGGAAAGUUUGAAGAUAAUAGUAAAUCAUAAAUAUGGCGUUAUGAUAGUAAAGGACAGGUAGAAUUCAGAACAUGCAUUUGACUCCAUCGAGAGAUGAAACUGGAAAAGUAAUUCUGUGUUCAGAGUGUGUGAGGACAGGACUUCCCUAUCAAGAGGGAAGACUUUGUUUUGUAGAAUGGAGACAGCCCAGCGUCCUCGUCUGUUUCUGCCGUCAUUUUAGUUUCUCCAUGUCAACGUGAAUUUCAGGCUUCCUCCCGUGGGUAAAUCUGUGAUUCUAAAAACUCACAGGUUCUGUUGGAAUGCGUUCACGUGUUCGUGUUCUCCAGCAUUUGCGGCUCACUGCAGGUCUCACAAACGCUCCUUGACCUCCCAUAAUCAGUCGCACUAUUUUUACUGAAAUUUUUACUCUGCUGCUUCUCAUGUUUUUUACUAAUUGUGCCUCACUUUUCCUUCUACCCCCGGUACUAGUUCUAACAUUUUCGAGCAACUGGCCUUUGGUGUUGAGAUGUAAAUAUUAAUUCCUUGUUAUUUUUUUUUAACUGAGGUCGACUUUACAUUUCUUUUUGUUGUAACAAAGCAACUGGUACACUUUUAAUGUUUAAAACUGAGCAUUAUCAUUUCUUCCCAGUAAAAGAAAAAAGGAAAAUGAAAAUAAACAAGAACAAUAUUAUAAUAGAGAACGCCAAUUCCCAAUAAGACUCUACAGGCUCACUCAAGUCAUCACUAGGAAUUUUACUUUAACAGUGUUCUCUUACACUGCAAGGAAGUCCAUUAGACAUCACAAUUAAACAUGCCAUGCCCUGGCUGGUGGAAAGUCAGGUUCUCAAAAUGCCCACUUAACCCACUGAAACACCUCCAACCCACCUUUGGCUGACCUAUAAAUGCAUUUUUAAAAAAUGUCUUCUAUAAGAGGAAGCAGACAGAUACAUGUUGGUAAAUGCUAACUGCCCAUAUUCAGAGACACAGUGAGCUCAACCUGCAGAGAAAGGAGGGGGAAAACUAGAGUUCUAUGCGCUACCACGUGGGCGGGCUUCCAGCCUGCAGCCGAGAUGCGGGAACAGAAAGUUUGUCUUCCUCCCCACAGAGCACGGUGGCGUUGAUUCCACACGGGGUUUGUUGAGUUGGGAAGGGAUGAGAAAUGAAUUUGGAACAGAAACGGUAGAGAUUCUUCCCCCACUGUGUUCUGCUCAAGGUAUUUUCCCCAAGAUAAUUGCUGACCAGAAUGUCCAGCAGAGAGAAGA